CCUACGGGCGGCAGCAGUCGAGAAUCAUUCACAAUGGGGGAAACCCUGAUGGUGCGACGCCGCGUGGGGGAAUGAAGGUCUUCGGAUUGUAAACCCCUGUCAUGUGGGAGCAAAUUAAAAAGAUAGUACCACAAGAGGAAGAGACGGCUAACUCUGUGCCAGCAGCCGCGGUAAUACAGAGGUCUCAAGCGUUGUUCGGAAUCACUGGGCGUAAAGCGUGCGUAGGCUGUUUCGUAAGUCGUGUGUGAAAGGCGCGGGCUCAACCCGCGGACGGCACAUGAUACUGCGAGACUAGAGUAAGGGAGGGGGAACCGGAAUUCUCGGUGUAGCAGUGAAAUGCGUAGAUAUCGAGAGGAACACUCGUGGCGAAGGCGGGUUCCUGGACAUUAACUGACGCUGAGGCACGAAGGCCAGGGGAGCGAAAGGGAUUAGAUACCCGAGUAGUU
Molecule: ribosomal RNA, 446 nt
Filed under: uncultured bacterium
Lineage: Bacteria
Description: partial 16S ribosomal RNA
Rfam family: Bacterial small subunit ribosomal RNA
Source: RNAcentral